AUUGAACGCUGGCGGCAGGCCUAACACAUGCAAGUCGAACGAGGGGCGGACGGGUGCGUAAUGUCUGGGAAACUGCCCGAUGGAGGGGGAUAAAUACUGGAAACUGUAGCUAAUACCGCAUACCAUCGGGUGUGCCCAGAGGGGAUUAGCUAGUAGGUGGGGUAACGGCUCACCUAGGCGACGAGCCCUAGCUGGUCUGAGAGGAAGACCAGCCACACUGGAACGGAGACACGGUCCAGACGCCUACGGGAGGCAGCAGUGGGGAAGAUUGCACAAUGGGCGCAAGCCUGAUGCAGCCAUGCCGCGUGUAUGAAGAAGGCCUUCGGGUUGUAAAGCACUUUCAGCGAGGAGGCGUUACUCGCAGAAGAAGCACCGGCUAACUCCGUGCCAGCAGCCGCGGUAAUUC
This 406-nucleotide ribosomal RNA is filed under the name uncultured bacterium. RNAcentral describes it as "partial 16S ribosomal RNA". It matches the Rfam family "Bacterial small subunit ribosomal RNA", at positions 29 to 526 of the family's 1533-position model. The record is from RNAcentral.